AGCGCAGGCGGACCGGCAAGUUGGAAGUGAAAACUAUGGGCUCAACCCAUAAAUUGCUUUCAAAACUGCUGGCCUUGAGUAGUGCAGAGGUAGGUGGAAUUCCCGGUGUAGCGGUGGAAUGCGUAGAUAUAUGGAAGAACACCAGUGGCAAAGGCGGCUUACUGGACAACAACUGACGUUGAGGCUCGAAAGUGUGGGUAGCAAACA
This 207-nucleotide ribosomal RNA is filed under the name uncultured bacterium. RNAcentral's name for it is "partial 16S ribosomal RNA". It matches the Rfam family "Bacterial small subunit ribosomal RNA", at positions 568 to 774 of the family's 1533-position model. The record is from RNAcentral.